GGAAGAUCAGUCUGGGCUGAUUACCAAGGAGAUCUCGGAACUUCUGGCCAAACGGCAAUACAAGAAGUCCCAUAUGAUCAUCCGGGAUUUCUAAGCAACCUGUUCCUCGUCGCCAAGAAAGGUGGAGGUGUUCGGCCGGUGAUCAAUCUCAAGCGACUCAACGGAUUCCUUUGUUACCAUCACUUCAAGAUGGAGGGCAUACAUUGCCUCAGAGAUCUGCUUCGGCAAGGGGAUUGGAUGGUCAAGCUAGACCUCAAGGACGCAUACCUGACUAUACCUAUGGCAGAGGUACACUGGGACUUAUUGCACUUUACGUGGCAAGGACGUCGGUGGAGGUUUACCUGUCUGCC
Molecule: long non-coding RNA, 350 nt
Filed under: Pelobates cultripes (western spadefoot toad)
Lineage: Eukaryota; Metazoa; Chordata; Amphibia; Anura; Pelobatidae
Source: RNAcentral